This 401-nucleotide ribosomal RNA is filed under the name uncultured bacterium. Its description in RNAcentral is "partial 16S ribosomal RNA". It matches the Rfam family "Bacterial small subunit ribosomal RNA", at positions 355 to 746 of the family's 1533-position model. The record is from RNAcentral.
UGGGGAAUCUUCCGCAAUGGACGAAAGUCUGACGGAGCAACGCCGCGUGAGUGAAGAAGGUUUUCGGAUCGUAAAACUCUGUCUUUUGGGGCGAACGUGAGUAUGGUGAAUAAUCAUAGUCAGUGACGGUACCAAAGGAGGAAGCCACGGCUAACUACGUGCCAGCAGCCGCGGUAAUACGUAGGUGGCAAGCGUUGUCCGGAAUUAUUGGGCGUAAAGAGCGCGUAGGCGGGAUAGUCAGUCUGUUGUAAAGUGCGGGGCUCAACCCCGUGAUCGCAAUGGAAACAGCUAUUCUUGAGUGCAGGAGAGGAAAGUGGAAUUCCCAGUGUAGCGGUGAAAUGCGUAGAUAUUGGGAGGAACACCAGUGGCGAAGGCGACUUUCUGGACUGUAGUCUGGACGC